This 447-nucleotide ribosomal RNA is filed under the name uncultured bacterium. Its description in RNAcentral is "partial 16S ribosomal RNA". It matches the Rfam family "Bacterial small subunit ribosomal RNA", at positions 29 to 523 of the family's 1533-position model. The record is from RNAcentral.
AACGAACGCUGGCGGCAGGCUUAACACAUGCAAGUCGAGCGCCCCGCAAGGGGAGCGGCAGACGGGUGAGUAACGCGUGGGAAUCUACCCAACCCUACGGAAUAACGCAUGGAAACGUGUGCUAAUACCGUAUACGCCCUGCGGGGGAAAGAUUUAUCGGGGAUGGAUGAGCCCGCGUUGGAUUAGCUAGUUGGUGGGGUAAAGGCCUACCAAGGCGACGAUCCAUAGCUGGUCUGAGAGGAUGAUCAGCCACAUUGGGACUGAGACACGGCCCAAACUCCUACGGGAGGCAGCAGUGGGGAAUAUUGGACAAUGGGCGCAAGCCUGAUCCAGCCAUGCCGCGUGAGUGAUGAAGGCCCUAGGGUUGUAAAGCUCUUUCACCGAUGAAGAUAAUGACGGUAGUCGGAGAAGAAGCCCCGGCUAACUUCGUGCCAGCAGCCGCAGUAA